This is a long non-coding RNA of Oreochromis aureus, 514 nucleotides long. The record is from Ensembl. Lineage: Eukaryota; Metazoa; Chordata; Actinopteri; Cichliformes; Cichlidae.
UUUUUUUUUGCAUAAUUUACCUUUUAAUUAAACUGCAUUCUCUGUAUUGUAACAAAACUAACAUUGUUUAUAUGUCAGAAAAUUAGCAAACAUGAAUAAAUGGCGAAAACAAUAUAAUUAUAACAUAUAUUUUUAUUUUACUUAUUUUAGGUCUGUGAAGCCAAACUUGAUGCUGGGGAUUUAUUUUUGUCAGUGGAGUCAAAUGGUCUAGAUGAUCACAUCUGUCUUUGUCAUUUAAAUGAGGUGGACUUGCAAACUUUGCGCUCUUUUGGAUUUCAAGACAGAGCUUAUUGUUCUCUGAACUUCCUUGUUUGCUGAACGGCAGGUUGAAGCAGAAUUUGCCCGUCUUACAUCUGUUGACCUGAAAGGGUUCCUUUUUGCUGUGCUUGACCAUUAUGGAGAGGUUCGUGGAGCUGUACAAAAUCAAGAGCGGCAUAGAAGGGCUAACUAGGCUCAUAAGAUGCUUCGGAGAUGAUAGCCCUACACAAAGGAAGAGGACAGAGGACCUCAUUUU